This 513-nucleotide ribosomal RNA is filed under the name uncultured bacterium. RNAcentral describes it as "bacterial SSU rRNA". It matches the Rfam family "Bacterial small subunit ribosomal RNA", at positions 15 to 518 of the family's 1533-position model. The record is from RNAcentral.
GAUUCUGGCUCAGAACGAACGCUGGCGGCGCGUUUAAGCAUGCAAGUCGAGCGGCAAGGGCCUUCGGGCCCCUAGAGCGGCGGACGGGUGAGUAACACGUGGACAAUCUGCCCCCCGGCCCGGGAUAGCCCAGGGAAACCUGGAUUAAUACCGGAUGAGACGGGACCCGCGAUGGCGGGAUCCGGGAAAGGCGCUGCGGCGCCGCCGGGGGAUGAGUCUGCGUCCCAUUAGCUAGACGGCGGGGUAACGGCCCACCGUGGCGACGAUGGGUAGCCGGCCUGAGAGGGUGGACGGCCACAUUGGAACUGAGACACGGUCCAGACUCCUACGGGAGGCAGCAGCUAAGAAUCUUCCGCAAUGGGCGAAAGCCUGACGGAGCCGACGCCGCGUGAACGAAGAAGGCCGUGAGGUUGUAAAGUUCUUUUCGGGAGGGGGAACAACCGUGGCAGGGAAUGGCCGCGGGAUGACGUGAAUCCCGGAAUAAGCCCCGGCUAACUACGUGCCAGCCGCCGC